Molecule: long non-coding RNA, 231 nt
Filed under: Elaeis guineensis (African oil palm)
Lineage: Eukaryota; Viridiplantae; Streptophyta; Magnoliopsida; Arecales; Arecaceae
Description: long non-coding RNA (EGUI_LNC057970)
Source: RNAcentral
UGUUUGAUCCAAAAUGUCUUCCGAUAUCUCCUCUUUUAGCGGUUCUAGGAGUUCGUCAGUCCCAGUUCCCCAAAGUCCUUAUACCGUAGACGAACCCGUAGUCGGGAUCGAACCUCAUUUGGUCUUUACGCCAGACACCAUCCCCAGCUCUUUGACUCCGGAUGAACUCUCAUUGAUAAAGAUUCAGUAUGGAGUUCCUCUGGAGUAUGAGAUGGAGCUUCCUGGGCCAAC